RNAcentral lists this ribosomal RNA (242 nucleotides) under uncultured bacterium. RNAcentral describes it as "partial 16S ribosomal RNA". It matches the Rfam family "Bacterial small subunit ribosomal RNA", at positions 64 to 334 of the family's 1533-position model. The record is from RNAcentral.
GAACGCUCUCUUCGGAGAGAGUGGCGCACGGGUGAGUAACACGUGGGAACGUACCUCGAAGUACGGGAUAACUGUUGGAAACGACAGCUAAUACCGUAUACGCCCCUAGGGGGAAAGAUUUAUCGCUUCGGGAUCGGCCCGCGUCCGAUUAGCUUGUUGGUGAGGUAAAGGCUCACCAAGGCUACGAUCGGUAGCUGGUCUGAGAGGAUGAUCAGCCACACUGGGACUGAGACACGGCCCAG